This is a non-coding RNA of Cinara cedri, 243 nucleotides long. Lineage: Eukaryota; Metazoa; Arthropoda; Insecta; Hemiptera; Aphididae. The record is from the annotation of a GenBank genome assembly.
ACUUGAAUAUAAUCAUCCAAUGGCAUCGUUGUAAACACUUCUCGCCAUGACCGCAUUACCCAACCCCGUCGACCCUAUGACAUGCUCCGUCUACACUAGUAUAAGGUCCAUGACGUUAUCAAAGAAUAAGCAGCUACUGAUACCUACAACCUAUACCAAGUUCAAAGAUCAUUAUAACCAUAAACCACUGAUAAAUUUGUUUGAUGAACCACGUUUUCAUAAAAACUGAUAUCAACAUAUCAA